RNAcentral lists this non-coding RNA (20 nucleotides) under Arabidopsis thaliana (thale cress). Lineage: Eukaryota; Viridiplantae; Streptophyta; Magnoliopsida; Brassicales; Brassicaceae. The record is from RNAcentral.
UCUCGCCAUUGUUGUGUUGG